RNAcentral lists this non-coding RNA (30 nucleotides) under Mus musculus (house mouse). Lineage: Eukaryota; Metazoa; Chordata; Mammalia; Rodentia; Muridae. The record is from RNAcentral.
UGAUCCAUGUCACAUGGGUGUCUUCCAGUU